GAUGAAGAACGUAGCAAAAUGCGAUAAGUAAUGUGAAUUGCAGAAUUCAGUGAAUCAUCGAAUCUUUGAACGCACAUUGCGCCCGCCAGUAUUCUGGCGGGCAUGCCUGUUCGAGCGUCAUUUCAACCCUCAAGCCCUCGGGUUUGGUGUUGGGGAUCGGCGAGCCUUUCUGGCAAGCCGGCCCCGAAAUCUAGUGGCGGUCUCGCUGCAGCCUCCAUUGCGUAGUAGUAAAACCCUCGCAACUGGAACGCGGCGCGGCCAAGCCGUUAAACCCCCAACUUCUGAAUGUUGACCUCGGAUCAGGUAGGAAUACCCGCUGAACUUAAGCAUAUUCAAUAAGCGGAGGA
Molecule: unclassified non-coding RNA, 347 nt
Filed under: soil metagenome
Description: partial contains 5.8S ribosomal RNA, internal transcribed spacer 2, and large subunit ribosomal RNA
Rfam family: 5.8S ribosomal RNA (bases 1-120)
Source: RNAcentral